This 300-nucleotide unclassified non-coding RNA is filed under the name Phylloporus sp. Its description in RNAcentral is "partial contains small subunit ribosomal RNA and internal transcribed spacer 1". The stretch from base 1 to 46 matches the Rfam family "Eukaryotic small subunit ribosomal RNA", at positions 1786 to 1831 of the family's 1831-position model. Lineage: Eukaryota; Fungi; Basidiomycota; Agaricomycetes; Boletales; Boletaceae. The record is from RNAcentral.
AAGUCGUAACAAGGUUUCCGUAGGUGAACCUGCGGAAGGAUCAUUAACUACAUAUAUCAUCUUGCUGGCCUCACAGCUGGCUUGGUGAUAAUAUAUCAAAACCAAAAUUUACAAUCCGUGAACAUUACAAACACAAAAAAUGAUGGGUUCGCGUGUCAUUACUUCUCUUGAAUGCACGUACUCAGCCAAUACCAAUUCCACCAAUUUUUUAACCAUAUUAACAACCAUUACCGUAACGAUAGUCCCUCGGGAUUAGCGUACUAAAACAAGCGCAUGUUAUUACUUUCGAGAAUGCAUGCA